AGUGGGGAAUAUUGGACAAUGGGCGCAAGCCUGAUCCAGCCAUGCCGCGUGAGUGAUGAAGGCCUUAGGGUUGUAAAGCUCUUUCAGUAGGGAAGAUAAUGACGGUACCUACAGAAGAAGCCCCGGCUAACUUCGUGCCAGCAGCCGCGGUAAUACGAAGGGGGCUAGCGUUGUUCGGAUUUACUGGGCGUAAAGCGCACGUAGGCGGUUUGUUAAGUCAGGGGUGAAAUCCCGGAGCUCAACUCCGGAACUGCCUUUGAUACUGGCAAGCUAGAGUCCGGAAGAGGUAAGUGGAACUCCUAGUGUAGAGGUGGAAUUCGUAGAUAUUAGGAAGAACACCAGUGGCGAAGGCGGCUUACUGGUCCGGAACUGACGCUGAGGUGCGAAAGCGUGGGGAGCAAA
Molecule: ribosomal RNA, 402 nt
Filed under: uncultured Devosia sp.
Lineage: Bacteria; Pseudomonadati; Pseudomonadota; Alphaproteobacteria; Hyphomicrobiales; Devosiaceae
Description: bacterial SSU rRNA
Rfam family: Bacterial small subunit ribosomal RNA
Source: RNAcentral